AUCUACAGCCAUACCAUCCUAAGCAUGCCAGAUCUCAUCUGAUCUCAGAAGCUAAGCAGGGUUGGGUCUGGUCAGUACUUGAAUGGGGGAAUCCAAGGACACCCCAUGAAGUGAGGGCA
RNAcentral lists this ribosomal RNA (119 nucleotides) under Carlito syrichta (Philippine tarsier). The record is from RNAcentral. Lineage: Eukaryota; Metazoa; Chordata; Mammalia; Primates; Tarsiidae.